This 432-nucleotide ribosomal RNA is filed under the name uncultured bacterium. RNAcentral describes it as "partial 16S ribosomal RNA". It matches the Rfam family "Bacterial small subunit ribosomal RNA", at positions 29 to 507 of the family's 1533-position model. The record is from RNAcentral.
ACGAACGCUGGCGGCAUGCCUAACACAUGCAAGUCGAACGAGACCUUCCGGUCUAGUGGCGCACGGGUGCGUAACGCGUGGGAACCUGCCCUUAGGUUCGGAAUAACUCCCCGAAAGGGGUGCUAAUACCGGAUAAUGUCUUCGGACCAAAGAUUUAUCGCCUUUGGAUGGGCCCGCGUUGGAUUAGCUAGUUGGUAGGGUAAAAGCCUACCAAGGCGACGAUCCAUAGCUGGUCUGAGAGGAUGAUCAGCCACACUGGGACUGAGACACGGCCCAGACUCCUACGGGAGGCAGCAGUGGGGAAUAUUGGACAAUGGGCGAAAGCCUGAUCCAGCAAUGCCGCGUGAGUGAUGAAGGCCUUAGGGUUGUAAAGCUCUUUUACCCGGGAUGAUAAUGACAGUACCGGGAGAAUAAGCUCCGGCUAACUCCGUG